GCGGCUAUCAAAGCGGGUGGACGUGUAUGUUCAAAUUUGUUUCCUAUAUUUUAACGAAUCGUCAUAAUUUUGUUCUAUGAGCUACAACAAUAAAUUAUACUAGAAAAUGAUGUGGAAUAUGUGAAUGUACCUGCAAUAUUUUUAGUGAGUGCAAAUGGAGAUGAUAAAUGCUGGAGUGCGGUGACGACCGGUGCGAAUGGUCGGAUUGUGUAAAAAUAACUGCGGAACCGGCGGCUAACUGCUAAGCAACCAGUGGAAUGAGUUCUGUCGGCAUAAUAUUAUAGUCGAGGCGGGGCGAGGCCGACUGCGCCAUAUUAUAAUUUCCCUUCGCGUUGAAUGUGCAAACAGACGAUAGACUGACUAAACAGUGAGCUGUCUGUAUCUCUCUCCCUCUUUGCAGCCUAUUAAGCGUGUUGUACAAAACAAAACGUCGCUAAACUGGUCUCGAUUCACGACACGUAACCAUGUAUUGAACUCGAUAUGUACUAUAUUAUUAUACUGUAGCAGGUAAAGAUGACAACAAUGGGCCAUUGCAAAUGGCAGUAGAAUACUAGAUGCGUAUCCAAGUAUUGGUUAAGUCGUCGAAAUGACGCCUUAAAAGGAGCGGGGAAUGAAGUGCCGGAGGGGCAGGCGAACAGAGGCAAGCCACAUAAUACGAUUGCAUAUAAUAUGUAUAGCUCCAACGCUGCCCGACACACCGAAUAUAUUAUAAACGUCUAUACUUUA
This is a long non-coding RNA of Leptidea sinapis, 726 nucleotides long. RefSeq lists it as uncharacterized. Lineage: Eukaryota; Metazoa; Arthropoda; Insecta; Lepidoptera; Pieridae. The transcript is spliced from 2 exons. The record is from RefSeq and is a predicted model, not a curated record.